RNAcentral lists this long non-coding RNA (407 nucleotides) under Androctonus crassicauda. Lineage: Eukaryota; Metazoa; Arthropoda; Arachnida; Scorpiones; Buthidae. The record is from RNAcentral.
CUCUCCUUGACAAUACCAUGCAAAUUACAUGGUGCAAGGACUGUGAAAAGAUAUUCUCCUAUCGUUCUAUGCUGGGAGAGGGGGUGGGAUAGCAUACGCAUGGCUGCGACGGAUCAGGCCAUUAGAAACCGGUGCUGUUGUCAGUUCCAGUUACCACCCUCCAAACAAAAGGACUCAAGCAGGGAAUUCGGUGACUGUCAAAACCUACAGGGAUUGAUUAUGAACACGGGACUUGUGACUCGUGCUGCGUUUGACAGCAGACCUCCAUUCAUUUGCCGCCGGUACUUCAAGCAACUGCUGCACCACCAGACCUUUCUCUUCCGUCGCUUCAGAUCUGAACGCCAGCUGCAAGUGACCGCCAGUUGUGCCUGGUUCGCCGUUCAAUGCGCUCCGAGGGGAUAGGCGAG